Molecule: transfer RNA, 70 nt
Filed under: Mogera wogura (Japanese mole)
Lineage: Eukaryota; Metazoa; Chordata; Mammalia; Eulipotyphla; Talpidae
Description: tRNA-Lys
Rfam family: tRNA
About the family: Transfer RNA (tRNA) molecules are approximately 80 nucleotides in length. Their secondary structure includes four short double-helical elements and three loops (D, anti-codon, and T loops). Further hydrogen bonds mediate the characteristic L-shaped molecular structure. tRNAs have two regions of fundamental functional importance: the anti-codon, which is responsible for specific mRNA codon recognition, and the 3' end, to which the tRNAs corresponding amino acid is attached (by aminoacyl-tRNA synthetases). tRNAs cope with the degeneracy of the genetic code in two manners: having more than one tRNA (with a specific anti-codon) for a particular amino acid; and 'wobble' base-pairing, i.e. permitting non-standard base-pairing at the 3rd anti-codon position.
Source: RNAcentral
CAUUAAGAAGCUAACUUCAAGCGUUAACCUUUUAAGUUAAAGAUUGAGAGCUCAAACCUCUCCUUAAUGA